This 446-nucleotide ribosomal RNA is filed under the name uncultured bacterium. Its description in RNAcentral is "partial 16S ribosomal RNA". It matches the Rfam family "Bacterial small subunit ribosomal RNA", at positions 338 to 795 of the family's 1533-position model. The record is from RNAcentral.
CCUACGGGUGGCAGCAGUCGAGAAUUAUUCACAAUGGGGGAAACCCUGAUGGUGCGACGCCGCGUGGGGGAAUGAAGGUCUUCGGAUUGUAAACCCCUGUCAUGUGGGAGCAAAUUAAAAAGAUAGUACCACAAGAGGAAGAGACGGCUAACUCUGUGCCAGCAGCCGCGGUAAUACAGAGGUCUCAAGCGUUGUUCGGAAUCACUGGGCGUAAAGCGUGCGUAGGCUGUUUCGUAAGUCGUGUGUGAAAGGCGCGGGCUCAACCCGCGGACGGCACAUGAUACUGCGAGACUAGAGUAAGGGAGGGGGAACCGGAAUUCUCGGUGUAGCAGUGAAAUGCGUAGAUAUCGAGAGGAACACUCGUGGCGAAGGCGGGUUCCUGGACAGUAACUGACGCUGAGGCACGAAGGCCAGGGGAGCGAAAGGGAUUAGAUACCCCAGUAGUC